GUCUAUGGCCAUACCACCCUGAACUCGCCCAAUCUCAUCUGAUCUCAGAAGCUAAGCAGGGUCUGGCCUGGUUAGUACUUGGAUGGGAGACCACCUGGAAAUACUGGGUGCCGUAGGCU
Ribosomal RNA from Cebus imitator (Panamanian white-faced capuchin), 119 nucleotides. The record is from Ensembl. NCBI's taxonomy places the organism in Eukaryota, Metazoa, Chordata, Mammalia, Primates, Cebidae.